This 261-nucleotide long non-coding RNA is filed under the name Theobroma cacao (cacao). RNAcentral's name for it is "long non-coding RNA (TCAC_LNC003958)". Lineage: Eukaryota; Viridiplantae; Streptophyta; Magnoliopsida; Malvales; Malvaceae. The record is from RNAcentral.
GCAUGCUUUCCAUAAAUUUUGUACUUCACGUAAAAUAUACGUACAUGUAUAUAUAUACGGAAUUUUUAAAAUUGACACCCCCUACUCACCUCAUAAUAGUGGGAUAUUACUUCACUAUUGAUUCAUAUGCGUAUAUAAUUAUUCCUAUUUGUCGGUCACAUACUUCGUUCGGCACGCCUCCACGGCAAACUUUUCUAGCAACAAUUUAAACUCAGUAUACUUAAUCACACAUUUGUAUGGGUAGCAACUUAAUUAAAAAUU